RNAcentral lists this ribosomal RNA (301 nucleotides) under uncultured soil bacterium. Its description in RNAcentral is "bacterial SSU rRNA". It matches the Rfam family "Bacterial small subunit ribosomal RNA", at positions 26 to 337 of the family's 1533-position model. The record is from RNAcentral.
AGAUUGAACGCUGGCGGCAUGCCUAACACAUGCAAGUCGAACGGGAGUAGCAAUACUCUAGUGGCGGACGGGUGAGGAAUACGUAGGAAUUUGCCCUUAAGUGGGGGAUAACCCGGGGAAACCCGGAUUAAUACCGCAGUGACCUCGAAAGAGCAAAGUGGGGGAUCGCAAGACCUCACGCUUUUGGAGAAGCCUACGUCGGAUUAGCUAGUUGGUGAGGUAAUGGCUCACCAAGGCGACGAUCCGUAACUGGUCUGAGAGGAUGAUCAGUCACACCGGGAACUGAGACACGGUCCGGACU